RNAcentral lists this ribosomal RNA (439 nucleotides) under uncultured bacterium. RNAcentral describes it as "partial 16S ribosomal RNA". It matches the Rfam family "Bacterial small subunit ribosomal RNA", at positions 339 to 795 of the family's 1533-position model. The record is from RNAcentral.
CUACGGGCUGCUGCAGUGAGGAAUAUUGCACAAUGGGGGGAACCCUGAUGCAGCAACGCCGCGUGGAGGAUGACGCAUUUCGGUGUGUAAACUCCUUUUAUAUGUCAAGAAAAUGACGGUAGCAUAUGAAUAAGCACCGGCUAACUCCGUGCCAGCAGCCGCGGUAAUACGGAGGGUGCAAGCGCUACUCGGAAUCACUGGGCGUAAAGGACGCGUAGGCGGGUUGGAAAGUCAGGUGUGAAAUCCUACAGCUUAACUGUAGAACUGCACUUGAAACUUCUAAUCUAGAGUAUGGGAGGGGGAGAUGGAAUUAGUGGUGUAGGGGUAACAUCCGUAGAUAUCACUAGGAAUACCUAAAGCGAAGGCGAUCUCCUGGAACAUUACUGACGCUAAGGCGUGAAAGCGUGGGGAGCAAACAGGAUUAGAUACCCGCGUAGUC